UCCAGACUCCUACGGGAGGCAGCAGUGGGGAAUAUUGGGCAAUGGGCGCAAGCCUGACCCAGCAACGCCGCGUGAAGGAGGAAGGCUUUCGGGUUGUAAACUUCUUUUAAGAGGGAAGAGCAGAAGACGGUACCUCUUGAAUAAGCCACGGCUAACUACGUGCCAGCAGCCGCGGUAAUACGUAGGUGGCAAGCGUUGUCCGGAUUUACUGGGUGUAAAGGGCGUGCAGCCGGGAGUGCAAGUCAGAUGUGAAAUCCCGCGGCUCAACCGCGGAACUGCAUUUGAAACUGUUGGUCUUGAGUAUCGGAGAGGCAGGCGGAAUUCCUAGUGUAGCGGUGAAAUGCGUAGAUAUUAGGAGGAACACCAGUGGCGAAGGCGGCCUGCUGGACGACAACUGACGGUGAGGCGCGAAAGCGUGGGGAGCAAACAGGAUUAGAUACCCCCGUA
Molecule: ribosomal RNA, 447 nt
Filed under: uncultured bacterium
Lineage: Bacteria
Description: bacterial SSU rRNA
Rfam family: Bacterial small subunit ribosomal RNA
Source: RNAcentral